AAUAUUGGACAAUGGGCGCAAGCCAGAUCCAGCCAUGCCGUGUGAGGGAUGAAGGCCUUAGGGUUGUAAAGCUCUUUCACCGAUGAAGAUAAUGACGGGAGGCGGAGAAGAAGCCCCGGCCUACUUCGUGCCAGCAGCCGAGGUAAUACGAUGGGGGCUAGCGUUGUUCGGAUUUAGUGGGCGUAAAGCGCACGUAGGCGGAUUGGUCAGUUAGAGGUGAAAUCCCGGAGCUCAACUUCGGAACUGCCUUUAAUACUGCCAGUCUCGAGUCCGGAAAAGGUAAGUGGAACUCCUAGUGUAGAGGUGGAAUUCGUAGAUAUUAGGAAGAACACCAGUGGCGAAGGCGGCUUACUGGUCCGGAACUGACGCUGAGGUGCGAAAGCGUGGGGAGCAAACAG
This 398-nucleotide ribosomal RNA is filed under the name uncultured bacterium. RNAcentral describes it as "partial 16S ribosomal RNA". It matches the Rfam family "Bacterial small subunit ribosomal RNA", at positions 360 to 775 of the family's 1533-position model. The record is from RNAcentral.